GUGCAAAUUUGCAGCGUCCUGGAUGGAAAUGCCGGACUUCAAAGAGUGGCUGCAGCCAGUCGAGGGGAAUGUCAGGGAGGCAUAUUGUACAUUAUGCAAGGAAAAAAUAAGUAUUGUGUCAAUGGGCAUUAACUCGUUAAAGUCCCACGUGUGUUGUGCUAGCCACAAAGCCGCUGCUAGCCGCCGAGAGCGGCAGCUCUCCAUCGCUAGCUUCUGUGGUAAUCGCGUUGCACCACCACAACCUAGUGCCAACGUCGUUACACCACCGGCAGUCACACCUGAAGCUACAGCUAUGACCCGGGCUGUCUCUGCUUCCUCAUCUUCUGCAGCCGACAUCAGAGUGGCUCUGGGCGGCACAGCAACUGCGUGCUGAGGUGUUGUGGUGUCUCCACACAGCGGAGAAACACCAUUCACUGAACUCAAACGAAAACUUGGCUGAAGUUUUCAAGGCUAUGUUUCCAGAUUCGGAUAUAGCAAAGUCGUUCACUUGUGGCAAGGACAAAACUGGAUACAUCAUACGAUUCGGGUUAGCACCACACUUCAAGCAGGAGCUCAUCAACACCAUCAACAAGGCUGGCCAGUUUGUGUUAAUGUUUGACGAGUCGCUCAACCAGUCAACAAAAACAAAACAGCUUGAUGUCCACAUUCGAUUCUGGGAAGAUGACCGUGUCCAAUCUAGGUACCUUGGCUCUCAAUUCUUGGGACACGGAAAAGCUGUCGACCUGUUGCAUCACAUCAAAGAAUGUGUUGCAAAACUGAAUAUGAGGCAGCUUCUCUCCAUCAGUAUGGACGGCCCAAAUGUCAACUUGAAGCUUGCAGACCUCCUCCAGACUGAGCAUGCUGAGCUGUAUGGUGCUCAUCUGGUUAAUGUUGGAAGCUGUGGGCUUCACACCCUCCACAAUGCACUGAAGGCAGGCUUUACCAUGUGGCAGAUGGACAAGCUCCUUCGAGCACUCCACUACCUCUUUCAUAAUGUUCCAGCUAGGAGGGAAGAUUUUACUGUUUUGACUGGGUCCACCUCCUUUCCGCUACCAUUCUGUGGCCACAGGUGGAUUGAAAAUGUCCCCGUGGCAGAGAGGGCAGUUCAAGUGUGGCCAAUGGUCAUGAUGUACGUAGAUGCUGUUAAGCAGAAGAAGCUUCCAAACCCCAGUACUGCCUCUUACGACACCAUUGAGGCAGCACAAGCGGAUCCCCUCAUGAUUGCCAAGCUCCAGUUCUUCCUGGCAAUAUCCAGGACCUUUAGCCUCUUCCUGACCAACUAUCAAACUGAUGAGCCAGUUCUGCCCUUCUUUGCCAAAGAUUUGAAGUCUCCUGCGGCGGGUUGUAAAGCAAGAGCUCCUGCAAGAUGCCACUUCUCUGAGGGUGACCAAAAUUGACGUUGCUGAUGAAGUGAAUAGGGUAUCCUACAAGAAUGUUGACAUAGGACUGGGUGCUGAAUCUGCCAUCAAGGUGAUGUAAUCAUACAACAGUUCCAGAGCUUUCGCUCUCUUGAGGCGAGAGAUGAGAGAUUCUCCUCCUUCCAGCCACUGAAGGAGCGACUUGAUCUCUUCCUGCAUUCAGCCCUCAGCAAGUCUUAUCCAGAGCUAUAUAAGUUUUCUCAGAGCCUUCUACUUCUGUCCCACGGACAAGCCAUGGUGGAAAGAGGGUUUUCCAUCAACAAGGAGGUUGAAACAUGCAACAUCCUUCAAAAGUCGAUGGAAGCUUUGAGGCUGAUAUGUGAAAAGAUCAGUGUCUUUGGGGGUGUUUUGAAGGUACCUCUCACAAAGGAGCUCAUGGCUUCAGUAGCCUGUGCAAGGUCAAGGUACAGGAGUUACCUGGAAGAUGAACGGAAGAAGAAACAGAGUUCCACACAGGACCUCAAAAGAAAAGCAGUGCAAGAGGAGAUAGAAGACCUGAAAAGGAAACGAACGGUUCUGACAGAGGUGUGCGACUCCCUCCAAACAGAUGCUGAUAAGUUAGCCGAGCAGGCAGAGGGCAAAUCUGGGACAUUAAUGGCACAACUGAUCACGAAGUACAACAUCCUCAGAAGACGUAGUAAAGAAAAACGGAAUGAAUUAGUCCAAACUGAGAAGCUGCUGGGAACAAAAUCAAGUUUUGUUUUGUUUUUUAAUAAACUUUGAUUUACUAUCCCAGCCUAUUUGAUUAUUUUUUUUGUAUCAGAGCGGUCUAUAGUCUUUAUCACAAACUAAAACUGUUAAGUUAAAAGUAUCACUGAUGUAAAUGGUUACAGCUUGAAGUGGCGGUGAGGUAUUAAAAAAUAUUGAGAAGUUCUUGAAAAAGUCUUGAAAAGGUAUUCAAAUUAACUUCAAGAUUCCUGCAUAUACCCUGCUACUGCAACUGUCUUCAGUUCCUGCUUG
Xyrauchen texanus (razorback sucker) is the source of this 2357-nucleotide RNA transcript. RefSeq lists it as uncharacterized. Lineage: Eukaryota; Metazoa; Chordata; Actinopteri; Cypriniformes; Catostomidae. The transcript has 6 exons. The record is from RefSeq and is a predicted model, not a curated record.